CCUACGGGUGGCAGCAGUGGGGGAUAUUGCACAAUGGGGGGAACCCUGACCCAGCGAUGCCGCGUGGGUGAAGGAGCGUUUCGGCUCGUAAAGCUCUAUCGGCCGUGACGAAGAUGACGGUACCUGCCCAAGAAGCCCCGGCUAACUUCGUGCCAGCAGCCGCGGUAAUACGUAGGGGGCAAGCGUUGUACGGAUUUACUGGGUGUAAAGGGGGUGCAGGCGGAAAUGCAAGCCAGCGGUGAAAGGCCGGGGCCCAACCCCGGGACUGCCCUUGGGACUGUGUAGCUAGAGUACAGGAGAGGAUGGCGGAAUACCCAGUGUAGCGGUGAAAUUCGUAGAUAUUGGGUAGAACACAGGUGGCGAAGGCGGCCAGCUGGACAGUGACUGACGUUGAGGCUCGAAAGCGUGGGGAGCAAACAGGAUUAGAUACCCUGGUAGUC
Molecule: ribosomal RNA, 440 nt
Filed under: uncultured bacterium
Lineage: Bacteria
Description: partial 16S ribosomal RNA
Rfam family: Bacterial small subunit ribosomal RNA
Source: RNAcentral